Helianthus annuus (common sunflower) is the source of this 341-nucleotide long non-coding RNA. RefSeq lists it as uncharacterized. NCBI's taxonomy places the organism in Eukaryota, Viridiplantae, Streptophyta, Magnoliopsida, Asterales, Asteraceae. The record is from RefSeq and is a predicted model, not a curated record. The transcript is spliced from 3 exons.
UUGAACCCUAAAUCACAAGAUACAAUCAAAUUCAACAAGGAAAUCAAGUCUAAAUAAAAAACCAAGCUGAAAUUAGUGAUCAUUCAAGUGAGGGGAUCACAAGGCAAAGCGGGUGAAUCUUCAAGCGAUCAAGUAGGAGCGGACGCGCGCUUGAAGGAUAAGCUUUGAAGGUGAUCAUAGUGACCUCCCGGAUGAACAUCAAGUAAUUUCCAAGAACCGAACACAAGACUUUUGAAGCUUCCGCAAGAAUAUCAUUUUGUUUAGUUAAACAUGAAAACACUUGGUGCUAUAUUUCUAUUGUUUUAAACUAAUAUGGAUGUUAACCAUAUAAUUUUUUUUUA